GAUGAAGAACGCAGCGAAAUGCGGUAAGUAAUGCGAAUUGCAGAAUUCAGUGAGUCAUCGAAUCUUUGAACGCACAUUGCGCCCUGUGGUAUUCCGCAGGGCAUGCCUGUUCGAGCGUCAUUUCAACCCUCAAGCCCCGCUUGGUGUUGGGCCCCGCCCGCUGUGGCCGGCCCUAAAGACAGUGGCGGCGCCGCCUGGCCCUCAGCGUAGUACAUCUCUCGCUCCAGGGUCCGGUGGCCGCCUGCCAGAACCCCCCAACUCUGUGGUUGACCUCGGAUCAGGUAGGGAUACCCGCUGAACUUAAGCAUAUCAAUAAGCGGAGGA
This 324-nucleotide unclassified non-coding RNA is filed under the name soil metagenome. RNAcentral describes it as "partial contains 5.8S ribosomal RNA, internal transcribed spacer 2, and large subunit ribosomal RNA". The stretch from base 1 to 120 matches the Rfam family "5.8S ribosomal RNA", at positions 35 to 154 of the family's 154-position model. The record is from RNAcentral.